CCUACGGGAGGCAGCAGUGGGGAAUAUUGCACAAUGGGGGAAACCCUGAUGCAGCGACGCCGCGUGAGUGAAGAAGUAUCUCGGUACGUCAAGCUCUAUCAGCCGGAGAGAAAAUGACUGUACCUGACUACGAAGCCCCGGCUCAAUACGUGCCAGCAGCCGCCGUAAUACUUAGGGGGCAAGCGUUAUCCGGAUUUAAUGGGUGUAAAGGGAGCGUAGGCGGGCUGGCAAGCCUGAUGUGAAAUACCUGGGCCCAACCCCGGGUCUGCCGUUGGAACUGCCAGGCUGGAGUGCCGGAGAGGCAGGCGGAAUGCGUAGUGUAGCGGUGAAAUGCGUAGAUAUCAGGAGGAACACCAGUGGCGAAGGCGGCCUGCUGGACGGCGACUGACGCUGAGGCUCGAAAGCGUGGGGAGCAAACAGGAUUAGAUACCCGAGUAGUC
This 440-nucleotide ribosomal RNA is filed under the name uncultured bacterium. RNAcentral describes it as "partial 16S ribosomal RNA". It matches the Rfam family "Bacterial small subunit ribosomal RNA", at positions 338 to 795 of the family's 1533-position model. The record is from RNAcentral.